This 726-nucleotide ribosomal RNA is filed under the name uncultured feedlot manure bacterium B17. RNAcentral's name for it is "bacterial SSU rRNA". It matches the Rfam family "Bacterial small subunit ribosomal RNA", at positions 34 to 755 of the family's 1533-position model. The record is from RNAcentral. Lineage: Bacteria; Bacillati; Bacillota.
CGCUGGCGGCGUGCUUAACACAUGCAAGUCGAACGAGACCUUGGGAAGUAGAUUCUUCGGAUGACACAUCCCAAGCGAGAGUGGCGGAUGGGCGAGUAACGCGUGAGCAACCUGCCUUUCACAGUGGAAUAACAUUGGGAAACCAGUGCUAAUACCGCAUAAAGUAAGCGAUAGGCAUCUAUCAGCUUACCAAAAGAAUUUUGGUGAAAGAUGGGCUCACGUCUGAUUAGGUAGUUGGUGAGAUAAAAGCUCACCAAGCCGACGAUCAGUAGCCGGACUGAGAGGUCGAUCGGCCGCAUUGGGACUGAGACACGGCCCAGACUCCUACGGGAGGCAGCAGUGGGGAAUAUUGGGCAAUGGAGCGCAAGCCUGACCCAGCAACGCCGCGUGAAGGAAGAAGGUCUUCGGAUUGUAAACUUCUUUAGACAGGGACGAAGUAGUGACUUUACCUGUAGAAUAAGCCACGGCUAACUACGUGCCAGCAGCCGCGGUAAUACGUAGGUGGCAAGCGUUAUCCGGAAUUACUGGGUGUAAAGGGCGUGUAGGCGGUUAUGCAAGUUAGAUGUGAAAUCUCCCGGCUUAACUGGGAACGUGCAUCUGAAACUGCGUAACUAGAGGUAUAGAGAGGAAAGUGGAAUUCCUAGAGUAGCGGUAAAAUGCGUAGAUAUUAGGAGGAACACCAGUGRCGAAGACGACUUUCUGGAUAUAACCUGACGCUCAGGCGCG